RNAcentral lists this ribosomal RNA (484 nucleotides) under uncultured bacterium. RNAcentral's name for it is "partial 16S ribosomal RNA". It matches the Rfam family "Bacterial small subunit ribosomal RNA", at positions 28 to 523 of the family's 1533-position model. The record is from RNAcentral.
GACGAACGCUGGCGGCGUGCUUAACACAUGCAAGUCGAACGAUGAAGCUAGAGCUUGCUCUGGUGGAUUAGUGGCGAACGGGUGAGUAACACGUGAGUAACCUGCCCCGAACUCUGGGAUAACUGCUGGAAACGGUAGCUAAUACCGGAUAUGACCAAUGAAGGCAUCUUCUGUUGGUGGAAAGAAUUUCGGUUCGGGAUGGACUCGCGGCCUAUCAGCUUGUUGGUGAGGUAACGGCUCACCAAGGCGACGACGGGUAGCCGGCCUGAGAGGGGAAUCGGCCACACUGGGACUGAGACACGGCCCAGACUCCUACGGGAGGCAGCAGUGGGGAAUAUUGCACAAUGGGCGCAAGCCUGAUGCAGCAACGCCGCGUGAGGGACGACGGCCUUCGGGUUGUAAACCUCUUUUAGUAGGGAAGAAGCGAGAGUGACGGUACCUGCAGAAAAAGCACCGGCUAACUACGUGCCAGCCGCCGCCGUAA